RNAcentral lists this ribosomal RNA (788 nucleotides) under uncultured bacterium. RNAcentral describes it as "SSU rRNA". It matches the Rfam family "Bacterial small subunit ribosomal RNA", at positions 70 to 853 of the family's 1533-position model. The record is from RNAcentral.
AGGUAAGUACUUGUACUUAUGCUGACGAGUGGCGGACGGGUGAGUAAUGCUUGGGGAUCUGUCUUAUGGAGGGGGAUAACUACGGGAAACUGUAGCUAAUACCGCGUAUUAUCGGGAGAUGAAAGUGUGGGACCGUAAGGCCACAUGCCAUAGGGUGAGCCCAAGUGGGAUUAGGUAGUUGGUGGGGUAAAGGCCUACCAAGCCGACGAUCUCUAGCUGGUCUGAGAGGAUGACCAGCCACACCGGGACUGAGACACGGCCCGGACUCCUACGGGAGGCAGCAGUGGGGAAUAUUGCGCAAUGGGGGCAACCCUGACGCAGCCAUGCCGCGUGAAUGAAGAAGGCCUUCGGGUUGUAAAGUUCUUUCGGUGUUGAGGAAGGCUGAUGUGUUAAUAGCAUAUCAGAUUGACGUUAGACACAGAAGAAGCACCGGCUAACUCCGUGCCAGCAGCCGCGGUAAUACGGAGGGUGCGAGCGUUAAUCGGAAUAACUGGGCGUAAAGGGCACGCAGGCGGACUUUUAAGUGAGGUGUGAAAUCCCCGGGCUUAACCUGGGAAUUGCAUUUCAUACUGGGGGUCUAGAGUACUUUAGGGAGGGGUAGAAUUCCACGUGUAGCGGUGAAAUGCGUAGAGAUGUGGAGGAAUACCGAAGGCGAAGGCAGCCCCUUGGGAAUAUACUGACGCUCAUGUGCGAAAGCGUGGGGAGCAAACAGGAUUAGAUACCCUGGUAGUCCACGCUGUAAACGCUGUCGAUUUGGGGGUUGGGCUUUAAGCUUGGCGCCCGAAGCU